RNAcentral lists this ribosomal RNA (641 nucleotides) under uncultured bacterium. RNAcentral's name for it is "bacterial SSU rRNA". It matches the Rfam family "Bacterial small subunit ribosomal RNA", at positions 202 to 847 of the family's 1533-position model. The record is from RNAcentral.
UAAAGAAUUUCGGUUAUCGAUGGGGAUGCGUUCCAUUAGUUAGUUGGCGGGGUAACGGCCCACCAAGACGACGAUGGAUAGGGGUUCUGAGAGGAAGGUCCCCCACAUUGGAACUGAGACACGGUCCAAACUCCUACGGGAGGCAGCAGUGAGGAAUAUUGGUCAAUGGACGAGAGUCUGAACCAGCCAAGUAGCGUGAAGGAUGACUGCCCUAUGGGUUGUAAACUUCUUUUAUAUGGGAAUAAAACAGGGUAUGCAUACCCUCUUGUAUGUACCAUAUGAAUAAGGAUCGGCUAACUCCGUGCCAGCAGCCGCGGUAAUACGGAGGAUCCGAGCGUUAUCCGGAUUUAUUGGGUUUAAAGGGAGCGUAGGUGGAUUGUUAAGUCAGUUGUGAAAGUUUGCGGCUCAACCGUAAAAUUGCAGUUGAAACUGGCAGUCUUGAGUACAGUAGAGGUGGGCGGAAUUCGUGGUGUAGCGGUGAAAUGCUUAGAUAUCACGAAGAACUCCGAUUGCGAAGGCAGCUCACUAGACUGCAACUGACACUGAUGCUCGAAAGUGUGGGUAUCAAACAGGAUUAGAUACCCUGGUAGUCCACACAGUAAACGAUGAAUACUCGCUGUUUGCGAUAUACAGUAAGCGGC